This 77-nucleotide transfer RNA is filed under the name Pseudomonadota bacterium. RNAcentral's name for it is "Proteobacteria bacterium (freshwater metagenome) tRNA-Arg". It matches the Rfam family "tRNA". From Rfam's summary of the family: Transfer RNA (tRNA) molecules are approximately 80 nucleotides in length. Their secondary structure includes four short double-helical elements and three loops (D, anti-codon, and T loops). Lineage: Bacteria; Pseudomonadati; Pseudomonadota. The record is from RNAcentral.
GCGCCCUUAGCUCAGCUGGAUAGAGCAACGGCCUUCUAAGCCGUGGGUCGGGGGUUCGAGUCCUCCAGGGCGCGCCA